RNAcentral lists this unclassified non-coding RNA (253 nucleotides) under uncultured Alphaproteobacteria bacterium. RNAcentral's name for it is "contains 16S-23S intergenic spacer region". It matches the Rfam family "Bacterial small subunit ribosomal RNA", at positions 524 to 776 of the family's 1533-position model. Lineage: Bacteria; Pseudomonadati; Pseudomonadota; Alphaproteobacteria. The record is from RNAcentral.
GACGGAGGAGGCUAGCGUUGUUCGGAAUUACUGGGCGUAAAGCGCGCGCAGGCGGCUUUGCAAGUCAGGGGUGAAAGCCCGGGGCUCAACCUCGGAACUGCCCUUGAGACUGCAAGGCUCGAGACCGGGAGAGGAGAGUGGAAUUCCCAGUGUAGAGGUGAAAUUCGUAGAUAUUGGGAAGAACACCAGUGGCGAAGGCGGCUCUCUGGCCCGGACCUGACGCUGAGGCGCGAAAGCGUGGGGAGCAAACAGG